Molecule: ribosomal RNA, 407 nt
Filed under: uncultured eubacterium TRA1-16
Lineage: Bacteria
Description: bacterial SSU rRNA
Rfam family: Bacterial small subunit ribosomal RNA
Source: RNAcentral
GAUGAACGCUAGCGAUAGGCUUAACACAUGCAAGUCGAGGGGCAGCAUGGUCUUAGCUUGCUAAGACUGAUGGCGACCGGCGCACGGGUGCGUAACGCGUAUGCAACUUGCCUCACAGAGGGGGAUAACCCGUCGAAAGACGGACUAAUACCGCGUACACUCUAUGUUGGGCAUCCAAUGUAGAGGAAAUGAACUUCGCUGUGAGAUAGGCAUGCGUCCCAUUAGCUAGUUGGUGAGGUAACGGCUCACCAAGGCGACGAUGGGUAGGGGAACUGAGAGGUUGAACCCCCACACUGGUACUGAGACACGGACCAGACUCCUACGGGAGGCAGCAGUGAGGAAUAUUGGUCAAUGGGCGAGAGCCUGAACCAGCCAAGUCGCGUGAAGGAUGACUGUCUUAUGGAUUG